GGGCGUAGAGGGCUCGCAGGCGGUUUCUUAAGUCUGAUGUGAAAGCCCCCGGCUCAACCGGGGAGGGUCAUUGGAAACUGGGAAACUUGAGUGCAGAAGAGGAGAGUGGAAUUCCACGUGUAGCGGUGAAAUGCGUAGAGAUGUGGAGGAACACCAGUGGCGAAGGCGACUCUCUGGUCUGUAACUGACGCUGAGGAGCGAAAGCGUGGGGAGCGAACAGGAUUAGAUACCCUGGUAGUCCACGCCGUAAACGAUGAGUGCUAAGUGUUAGGGGGUUUCCGCCCCUUAGUGCUGCAGCUAACGCAUUAAGCACUCCGCCUGGGGAGUACGGUCGCAAGACUGAAACUCAAAGGAAUUGACGGGGGCCCGCACAAGCGGUGGAGCAUGUGGUUUAAUUCGAAGCAACGCGAAGAACCUUACCAGGUCUUGACAUCCUCUGACGACCCUAGAGAUAGGGCUUUCCCUUCGGGGACAGAGUGACAGGUGGUGCAUGGUUGUCGUCAGCUCGUGUCGUGAGAUGUUGGGUUAAGUCCCGCAACGAGCGCAACCCUUGAUCUUAGUUGCCAGCAUUUAGUUGGGCACUCUAAGGUGACUGCCGGUGACAAACCGGAGGAAGGUGGGGAUGACGUCAAAUCAUCAUGCCCCUUAUGACCUGGGCUACACACGUGCUACAAUGGACAGAACAAAGGGCUGCAAGACCGCAAGGGUUAGCCAAUCCCAUAAAUCUGUUCUCAGUUCGGAUCGCAGUCUGC
Molecule: ribosomal RNA, 752 nt
Filed under: Bacillus pumilus
Lineage: Bacteria; Bacillati; Bacillota; Bacilli; Caryophanales; Bacillaceae
Description: bacterial SSU rRNA
Rfam family: Bacterial small subunit ribosomal RNA
Source: RNAcentral